Molecule: unclassified non-coding RNA, 193 nt
Filed under: uncultured fungus
Lineage: Eukaryota; Fungi
Description: sequence contains ITS1
Source: RNAcentral
UUAACUAUUAUAUAGUACUCAGACAAUAUUAACAAACAGAGUUUUGGUAUCUUCGACAGUCACUGACCAGCCGGAGCCGGUGGGCCGAAGCCGGGACUGCCAAAGCAACAAAGGUAAAUAAACAAUGGGUGGGAGGUAUACCCCGAAGGGCAACGUCUCUUUAAUGAUCCUUCCGCAGGUUCACCUACGGAAA